Molecule: long non-coding RNA, 1209 nt
Filed under: Homo sapiens (human)
Lineage: Eukaryota; Metazoa; Chordata; Mammalia; Primates; Hominidae
Description: HSALNT0115582
Source: RNAcentral
AAAGAGAAAGGCUAAUAUUUUCUUCCUACCCACACUGUAAUGACUUACCUUUGUAGUCUCAGUUUGUGGGUACUCACUUUGUAGUCUCAGUUUGUGGGUACCCACUUUGGAGGACACCAAAUAAGGAAUAUCGACAGACCUACCAACGGUUGAAGAAAACUUCUGAUGUGACAGAAGCAAACAGGACUUCACCCUCAAAGACAUUUUCUGGAAAAGCGUGGACUGCUGCUACCCUGGAUGGAGACUCCUUCUAGGGGAGUGUCUGAAUAGCAUUCGUCUGCCUCUAAUUAUUCUGGGUCACCAUGUCAGCUCUUUCCAAGGGUGUUGAAAUCUGCCGAGAUUUAUUUUGAUGAAGAAUAAGAUGAACUGUUAAGUUCCAUUGCAUCAGGGAUGUUCAAAGAAAUGGAAACAACUCCAGGCAUUUCAAGAAGGAAGGAAUUUAAUACAGGAGAUGACUUAGCUUUGAGAGAGGCAGCAGGCUGUAAGGUCUCCAGCAGAUGCAGCUGCCUCCAGAACUCUUGCGGCUCACCCAAAAUCGCACAUCUGCCAAAGCCCACAUGUUCCCCUCACUGCCAGAGGAGCACCACUGUGAUGACCGCUUCUCUUCUGCCUUCCAAGUCACAUGUGAGUGCUCCUUCUGAGUAGAAUCUGACCAGGAUCUUGGAAAAUGUACAUUUUGGAUGUCCUGCUCUGCAGCAUAGCUGGGGGAUGAUAGGAGGAGAAAAUGGUGUCCAGGAGUCAACAGCACUGUGACUCAGCUAGGUCUUCCCUUCCUCCCUUCAUCCCAAUUCUAAUUCCUGCAGAGACCCUGGUCCUGUUUUACAAGACUCCUUUUAGCAGAAUUUGGUCAAAGUCAUCAUGGCACUCCUAUAAGCAAUUACAAAGUGAUAUGGUUUGGCUCUGAGUCCCCAUCCAAAUCUCAUCUGGAAUUGUAAUCUCUAUAGUCCCCACAUGUCAAGGGAGGGACCUAGAGGGAGGUGAUUUUAUCAUGGGGUGGUUUCCCCCAUACUGCUCUCAUGAUAAUGAGUGAGUUCUCAUGAGAGCUGAUGGUUUUAUAGGGGGUCCUUCCCACUUUGCUUGCUCUUCUCUCUCCUUUUGAUUUGUGAAAAAGGUGGCUGCUUCCCCUUCUGCCACAAUUGUAAGUUUCCUGAGGCUUCCCCAGCCAUGCUGAACUGUGAGUCAAUUAAACCUCUUUUGUUUAUAAAUUGC